This 840-nucleotide ribosomal RNA is filed under the name uncultured archaeon. Its description in RNAcentral is "bacterial SSU rRNA". It matches the Rfam family "Archaeal small subunit ribosomal RNA", at positions 5 to 853 of the family's 1478-position model. The record is from RNAcentral.
CGGUUGAUCCCGCCGGACCUGACUGCUAUCGGAUUGGUACUAAGCCAUGCGAGUCAUUGUAGCAAUACAAGGCGGACGGCUCAGUAACACGUAUUCAACCUAACCUAUGGACGUGGAUAACCUCGGGAAACUGAGAAUAAACCACGAUAGAUCAUGAUGCCUGGAAUGGCUUAUGGUUCAAACAAUUUAUUGCCAUAGGAUGGGACUGCGGCCUAUCAGCUUGUUGGUGAGGUAAUGGCCCACCAAGGCUAUAACAGGUACGGGCUCUGAGAGGAGAAGCCCGGAGAUGGGUACUGAGACACGGACCCAGGCCCUAUGGGGCGCAGCAGGCGAGAAACCUUAGCAAUGUGCGAAAGCACGACUGGGUCAGUCCGAGUGAUUCCUGAUAAAGGAGUCUUUUGCCUGUCCUAAAAGCACAGGUGAAUAAGGGGUGGGCAAGUCUGGUGUCAGCCGCCGCGGUAAUACCAGCACCUCGAGUGGUCAGGACGUUUAUUGGGCCUAAAGCAUCCGUAGCCGGCUCUGCAAGUCUUCGGUUAAAUCCACCUGCUCAACAGAUGGGCCGCUGGAGAUACUACAGAGCUAGGGAGUGGGAGAGGCAGACGGUAUUCAGUGGGUAGGGGUAAAAUCCUCUGAUCCAUUGAGGACCACCAGUGGCGAACGCGGUCUGCCAGAACACGUUCGACGGUGAGGGGUGAAAGCUGGGGGAGCAAACCGGAUUAGAUACCCGGGUAGUCCCAGCUGUAAACGAUGCAACUCGGUGAUGCAUUGGCUUAUGGCCAAUGCAUUGCCGCAUGGAAGCCGUUAAGUUUGCCGCCUGGGAAGUACGGACGCAAGUCUGAA